UGGGGAAUAUUGCACAAUGGGCGCAAGCCUGAUGCAGCCAUGCCGCGUGUAUGAAGAAGGCCUUCGGGUUGUAAAGUACUUUCAGUCGGGAGGAAGGUGGUAAGGUUAAUAACCUUAUCAAUUGACGUUACCGACAGAAGAAGCACCGGCUAACUCCGUGCCAGCAGCCGCGGUAAUACGGAGGGUGCAAGCGUUAAUCGGAUUUACUGGGCGUAAAGCGCACGCAGGCGGUUGAUUGAGUCAGAUGUGAAAUCCCCGGGCUUAACCCGGGAAUUGCAUCUGAUACUGGUCAGCUAGAGUCUUGUAGAGGGGGGUAGAAUUCCAUGUGUAGCGGUGAAAUGCGUAGAGAUGUGGAGGAAUACCGGUGGCGAAGGCGGCCCCCUGGACAAAGACUGACGCUCAGGUGCGAAAGCGUGGGGAGCAAACAGG
Molecule: ribosomal RNA, 429 nt
Filed under: Chloroflexota bacterium
Lineage: Bacteria; Bacillati; Chloroflexota
Description: Chloroflexi bacterium partial 16S ribosomal RNA
Rfam family: Bacterial small subunit ribosomal RNA
Source: RNAcentral